RNAcentral lists this transfer RNA (68 nucleotides) under Archetypus frenchi. RNAcentral describes it as "tRNA-Tyr". The record is from RNAcentral. Lineage: Eukaryota; Metazoa; Arthropoda; Insecta; Coleoptera; Cerambycidae.
GGUAAAGUGGCUGAGAUCCAGGCAAUAAAUUGUAAAUUUAUCGACGAAAUUAAAUAUUUCUUUUACCA